RNAcentral lists this ribosomal RNA (497 nucleotides) under uncultured bacterium. Its description in RNAcentral is "partial 16S ribosomal RNA". It matches the Rfam family "Bacterial small subunit ribosomal RNA", at positions 28 to 507 of the family's 1533-position model. The record is from RNAcentral.
GAUGAACGCUGGCGGCGUGCCUAAUACAUGCAAGUCGAGCGAACAGACGAGGAGCUUGCUCCUCUGACGUUAGCGGCGGACGGGUGAGUAACACGUGGAUAACCUACCUAUAAGACUGGGAUCACUUCGGGAAACCGGAGCUAAUACCGGAUAAUAUAUUGAACCGCAUGGUUCAAUAGUGAAAGACGGUUUUGCUGUCACUUAUAGAUGGAUCCGCGCCGCAUUAGCUAGUUGGUAAGGUAACGGCUUACCAAGGCAACGAUGCGUAGCCGACCUGAGAGGGUGAUCGGCCACACUGGAACUGAGACACGGUCCAGACUCCUACGGGAGGCGGCAGUAGGGAAUCUUCCGCAAUGGGCGAAAGCCUGACGGAGCAACGCCGCGUGAGUGAUGAAGGUCUUCGGAUCGUAAAACUCUGUUAUUAGGGAAGAACAAAUGUGUAAGUAACUAUGCACGUCUUGACGGUACCUAAUCAGAAAGCCACGGCUAACUACGUG